AGCGAACGCUGGCGGCAGGCUUAACACAUGCAAGUCGAGCGGGCACUUCGGUGUCAGCUGCAGACGGGUGAGUAACACGUGGGAACGUACCCUUUGGUUCGGAAUAACGCUGGGAAACUAGCGCUAAUACCGGAUACGCCCUUUUGGGGAAAGGCUUGCUGCCGAAGGAUCGGCCCGCGUCUGAUUAGCUAGUUGGUGGGGUAAUGGCCUACCAAGGCGACGAUCAGUAGCUGGUCUGAGAGGAUGAUCAGCCACACUGGGACUGAGACACGGCCCAGACUCUUACGGGAGGGAGCAGGGCGGAAUAUGGGACAAUGGGCGCAAGCCUGAUCCAGCCAGGCCGCGUGAGUGAUGAAGGCCUUAGGGUUGUAAAGCUCUUUUGUCCGGGACGAUAAGGAGGGUACCGGAAGAAUAAGCCCCGGCUAAUUUCGG
This 432-nucleotide ribosomal RNA is filed under the name uncultured bacterium. RNAcentral's name for it is "partial 16S ribosomal RNA". It matches the Rfam family "Bacterial small subunit ribosomal RNA", at positions 29 to 506 of the family's 1533-position model. The record is from RNAcentral.